Molecule: ribosomal RNA, 1493 nt
Filed under: Priestia flexa
Lineage: Bacteria; Bacillati; Bacillota; Bacilli; Caryophanales; Bacillaceae
Description: bacterial SSU rRNA
Rfam family: Bacterial small subunit ribosomal RNA
Source: RNAcentral
UUAGAGUUUUGAAUUGGCUCAGGAUGAACGCUGGCGGCGUGCCUAAUACAUGCAAGUCGAGCGAACUGAUUAGAAGCUUGCUUCUAUGACGUUAGCGGCGGACGGGUGAGUAACACGUGGGCAACCUGCCUGUAAGACUGGGAUAACUCCGGGAAACCGGAGCUAAUACCGGAUAACAUUUUUUCUUGCAUAAGAGAAAAUUGAAAGAUGGUUUCGGCUAUCACUUACAGAUGGGCCCGCGGUGCAUUAGCUAGUUGGUGAGGUAACGGCUCACCAAGGCAACGAUGCAUAGCCGACCUGAGAGGGUGAUCGGCCACACUGGGACUGAGACACGGCCCAGACUCCUACGGGAGGCAGCAGUAGGGAAUCUUCCGCAAUGGACGAAAGUCUGACGGAGCAACGCCGCGUGAGUGAUGAAGGCUUUCGGGUCGUAAAACUCUGUUGUUAGGGAAGAACAAGUACAAGAGUAACUGCUUGUACCUUGACGGUACCUAACCAGAAAGCCACGGCUAACUACGUGCCAGCAGCCGCGGUAAUACGUAGGUGGCAAGCGUUUCGGAAUUUGGGCGUAAAGCGCGCGCAGGCGGUUUCUUAAGUCUGAUGUGAAAGCCCACGGCUCAACCGUGGAGGGUCAUUGGAAACUGGGGAACUUGAGUGCAGAAGAGAAAAGCGGAAUUCCACGUGUAGCGGUGAAAUGCGUAGAGAUGUGGAGGAACACCAGUGGCGAAGGCGGCUUUUUGGUCUGUAACUGACGCUGAGCGGAAAACGCCGGGAGCAAACAGGAUUAGAUACCCUGGUAGUCCACGCCGUAAACGAUGAGUGCUAAGUGUUAGAGGGUUUCCGCCCUUUAGUGCUGCAGCUAACGCAUUAAGCACUCCGCCUGGGGAGUACGGUCGCAAGACUGAAACUCAAAGGAAUUGACGGGGGCCCGCACAAGCGGUGGAGCAUGUGGUUUAAUUCGAAGCAACGCGAAGAACCUUACCAGGUCUUGACAUCCUCUGACAACUCUAGAGAUAGAGCGUUCCCCUUCGGGGGACAGAGUGACAGGUGGUGCAUGGUUGUCGUCAGCUCGUGUCGUGAGAUGUUGGGUUAAGUCCCGCAACGAGCGCAACCCUUGAUCUUAGUUGCCAGCAUUAAGUUGGGCACUCUAAGGUGACUGCCGGUGACAAACCGGAGGAAGGUGGGGAUGACGUCAAAUCAUCAUGCCCCUUAUGACCUGGGCUACACACGUGCUACAAUGGAUGGUACAAAGGGCUGCAAGACCGCGAGGUCAAGCCAAUCCCAUAAAACCAUUCUCAGUUCGGAUUGUAGGCUGCAACUCGCCUACAUGAAGCUGGAAUCGCUAGUAAUCGCGGAUCAGCAUGCGCGGGUGAAUACGUUCCCGGGCCUUGUACACACCGCCCGUCACACCACGAGAGUUUGUAACACCCGAAGUCGGUGGGGUAACCUUUAUGGAGCCAGCCGCCUAAGGUGGGACAGAUGAUUGGGGUGAA